CUUUGUUUAUCCAUUUUCUAUCUUCUUUGAGAUGGGUAUCAGUCAUUCCUCUAAUGAACAUUCCUUGUCCUUCAGAAAUCUGCAGAAUGAUCAGAAAGAAUACUAUGGUGCAUGCACAAAAAAAAUCUCGAAGACGGCCUAUGCUUGUAUAUGCGGUUUUAGGCUCCACGAAUCAUGCGCGAGUGAAGUGCAACAUCUGCCUCAUAAGAUUAUUCACCCUCUCCACUCACAGCACGAUCUUGAGCUAAAAUUAGAGAAAUCUGCAGAAUGAUCAGAAAGAAUAUUGUGGUGCAUGCACAAAAGAAAUCUUGAAGACGGCCUAUUCUUGUAUAUGCGGUUUUAGGCUCCACGAAUCAUGCUCGAGGGAAGUGCAACAACUGCCUCAUAAGACUAUUCACCCUCUCCACUCACAGCACGAUCUUGAACUAAAAUUAGAGAAAAGUGGCAGAGACCUAAAGAUGGCAAGAGAAAGGAAAUUCAGCAUUACAGCCACCUUCACAAGCUGACCUUCUUCAAAUAUACGAAGAUAAGAAACUACGGCUAUAAUUGUAGUUGGUGUGAAAAGUGUCUAUCGGAAGUGUGCUAUGGUUGCGUAAGAUGUAAGUUCUUCCUUCAUGAGUUGUGCAGGGAUAAGGUACUCAGAACCCUUUAUCAUCCUUUUCAUCCUUCACACCCUCUUCGCUUGCACUCUAUAGACAUCGGCAACAAUUGCAAUGCUUGUGGACAAGAUAUUUGUUUUUUGGCUCAGCGAGAAGAUAUUCUUAGUGAAAAGUAUUACGGGAAUCUCAGUUAUUGUUGCUUAAAGUGCAACCUUUUCCUUCAUUUUGGCUGCACUAAACUCUUACCCACCUUAAAACACAAGUGCCACGAACACCUUGUCACUUAUUUCAGAAUAUCCAAGAAAGCUAAAAAUGCUAACUCAUGCAAUGCUUGUGGGGCGCUUUGUGAUUAUGAUUUCUAUCGUUGUGUAGAAUGCAAUUUCAAUGUCCACCUUCAUUGUGUUCCAAUACCAUCUUCAAUUGAGCAUAGAUAUCACCGGCAUCCACUCAACUAUAUGGAUUCAGUUGCAGAAGAUCAUUCUGAAGAAUAUUACUGUGAUAUUUGUGAAAAUGAAAGGAAUCCAGCACAUCCUGUUUAUUGUUGUGAAAAAUGCAAAUAUAUUACUCAUGUUCAUUGUGUGCUCAAUGAGGUAAAAAUUACUUGCCUUACUUUUUUUUUGUUUUUAUGUUUUGAAAACCAAAAAGGAAAAUUUAUUAAGUUGAAAGCAGGGUAUAUUAAUAAUAGCACCAACCCACGCUAAAUCCUCUUUUGUCUA
This is a non-coding RNA of Theobroma cacao (cacao), 1315 nucleotides long. The record is from RefSeq and is a predicted model, not a curated record. NCBI's taxonomy places the organism in Eukaryota, Viridiplantae, Streptophyta, Magnoliopsida, Malvales, Malvaceae.